AUUGAAUGCUGGCGGCAGGCUUAACACAUGCAAGUCGAGCGGGGUGAUGGUGCUUGCGCUAUCACUUAGCGGCGGACGGGUGAGUAAUGCUUAGGAAUCUGCCUAUUAGUGGGGGACAACAUCUCGAAAGGGAUGCUAAUACCGCAUACGUCCUACGGGAGAAAGCAGGGGAUCACUUGUGACCUUGCGCUAAUAGAUGAGCCUAAGUCGGAUUAGCUAGUUGGUGGGGUAAAGGCCUACCAAGGCGACGAUCUGUAGCGGGUCUGAGAGGAUGAUCCGCCACACUGGGACUGAGACACUGACCAGACUCCUAUGGGAGGCAGCAGUGGGGAAUAUUGGACGAUGGGGGGAACCCUGAUCCAGCCAUGCCGCGUGUGUGAAGAAGGCCUUAUGGUUGUAAAGCACUUUAAGCGAGGAGGAGGCUCUUUUGGUUAAUACCCAAGAUGAGUGGACGUUACUCGCAGAAUAAGCACCGGCUAACUCUGUGCCAGCCGCCGCAGUAA
Molecule: ribosomal RNA, 503 nt
Filed under: uncultured bacterium
Lineage: Bacteria
Description: partial 16S ribosomal RNA
Rfam family: Bacterial small subunit ribosomal RNA
Source: RNAcentral